Molecule: non-coding RNA, 25 nt
Filed under: Rattus norvegicus (Norway rat)
Lineage: Eukaryota; Metazoa; Chordata; Mammalia; Rodentia; Muridae
Source: RNAcentral
AGGAUGAUCUUCUACCCUUGACCUU